This 163-nucleotide ribosomal RNA is filed under the name uncultured bacterium. RNAcentral describes it as "partial 16S rRNA". It matches the Rfam family "Bacterial small subunit ribosomal RNA", at positions 355 to 511 of the family's 1533-position model. The record is from RNAcentral.
UAGGGAAUCUUCCACAAUGGACGAAAGUCUGAUGGAGCAACGCCGCGUGAGUGAAGAAGGUUUUCGGAUCGUAAAGCUCUGUUGUUGGUGAAGAAGGAUAGAGGCAGUAACUGGUCUUUAUUUGACGGUAAUCAACAGAAAGUCACGGCUAACUACGUGCCAC